RNAcentral lists this ribosomal RNA (433 nucleotides) under uncultured bacterium. Its description in RNAcentral is "partial 16S ribosomal RNA". It matches the Rfam family "Bacterial small subunit ribosomal RNA", at positions 29 to 507 of the family's 1533-position model. The record is from RNAcentral.
AACGAACGCUGGCGGCAUGCCUAACACAUGCAAUUCGAACGAGACCUUCGGGUCUAGUGGCGCACGGGUGCGUAACGCGUGGGAACCUGCCCUUUGGUUCGGAAUAACUCCCCGAAAGGGGUGCUAAUACCGGAUAAUGUCUUCGGAGCAAAGAUUUAUCGCCUUUGGAUGGGCCCGCGUUGGAUUAGCUAGUUGGUAGGGUAAAAGCCUACCAAGGCGACGAUCCAUAGCUGGUCUGAGAGGAUGAUCAGCCACACUGGGACUGAGACACGGCCCAGACUCCUACGGGAGGCAGGAGUGGGGAAUAUUGGAAAAGGGGCGAAAGGCUGAUCAAGCAAGGACGCGUGAGUGAUGAAGGCCUUAGGGUUGUAAAGCUCUUUUAACCGGGAUGAUAAUGACAGUACCGGGAGAAUAAGCUCCGGCUAACUCCGUG